Molecule: long non-coding RNA, 710 nt
Organism: Acyrthosiphon pisum (pea aphid)
Lineage: Eukaryota; Metazoa; Arthropoda; Insecta; Hemiptera; Aphididae
Exons: 3
Source: RefSeq, a predicted model, not a curated record
AUGAUUAAAAACACUUAAAAUAAUUUUUUUCCAAUUUGUGAUAUAAAAAUGCGCAUUAUCAUAUUCAAUAAAUAAACAAGCAAAAUCAAAGCUUCAAAUCAGUGUGUUCAGUUUUCCUAUAUGAUAACAAUUAUUGAUAAAUUCCUGAUUAUACAGUUUUGCCCCACAUACAGUAAUAGCUUUCCCCUAUCUAUGUAGAAAUAAUAGGUUGUAAAAUAAUAAUUCACUAAAAAAUAUACUUUUAAGUUUUAACUAUCAUUUACACUAGUUACAGGCGAAAUAUUAAAAUUAAAACAAGUUUCUUUUUUCAGUUCAAUUUAGAAAGAUUGGGAUGUAAUUUUCAUUUAUACUUCUCUGCUGUUACAUCAAAUAAUUUCAAAGACAACAUAAUAUCUGCAUGUAUGUAUUGUUGCCUUCUUACAUGAGCUUUCAGAAAUACAGCAAACCAAAUUUCUAUUUAGAAGAAUCCAUUUUAUGUUGUUACUUGUAACUUAUAAAAAAGAUGGGCAAGUGGAUGUCGCUCUGCUGUACAGUAGAUUACAAGUGGAUCACUGUAUAAUGGAUUGUAUUAAAUUGGAAUUCAAUGAUAUAAUUCAUUGUAUACGCAAAACGGUUCUUGUCAGUGUGGAUAUUUUAUAUUAUGUUUAUACCUAUUGUUAUUAGUAUUAUUAUUUAUUAGUUAUUAUUAAUAUGUAAGCCCUAUAAUUAAG